UACGAAGGGUGCGAGCGUUAAUCGGAAUUACUGGGCAUAAAGGGCGCGUAGGCUGUGCUGUAAGUCAGGCGUGAAAGCCCCGGGCUCAACCUGGGAAUUGCGCUUGAUACUGCGGCGCUGGAAGGUGGGAGAGGAUGGCGGAAUUCCCAGUGUAGAGGUGAAAUUCGUAGAUAUUGGGAAGAACACCGGUGGCGAAGGCGGCCAUCUGGCCCAUUUUUGACGCUGAGGCGCGAAAGCGUGGGGAGCAAACAGG
Molecule: ribosomal RNA, 253 nt
Filed under: uncultured bacterium
Lineage: Bacteria
Description: partial 16S ribosomal RNA
Rfam family: Bacterial small subunit ribosomal RNA
Source: RNAcentral